This 385-nucleotide ribosomal RNA is filed under the name uncultured eukaryote. Its description in RNAcentral is "partial 18S ribosomal RNA". It matches the Rfam family "Eukaryotic small subunit ribosomal RNA", at positions 592 to 976 of the family's 1831-position model. The record is from RNAcentral.
CAAUAGCGUAUAUUAAAGUUGUUGCAGUUAAAAAGCUCGUAGUUGGAUUUCUGGUAGGAAUUGUCUGUCCAUCACGCGAGUGAUGCGUACUUGUUCAAUAUCCAGCCAUAUUCGGGGAGAAUGUUACUGGCAUUAGGUUGUCGGUUUCGGGAUCCUCGUCCUUCACUGUGAGUAAACUAGAGUGUUCAAAGCAGGCUUAGGCCGUUGAAUACGUUAGCAUGGAAUGAUAAGAUAGGACCUUGGGUCUAUUUUGUUGGUUUGUGUUCCAAGGUAAUGAUUAAUAGGGAUAGUUGGGGGUAUUCGUAUUCAAUUGUCAGAGGUGAAAUUCUUGGAUUUAUUGAAGACGAACUACUGCGAAAGCAUUUACCAAGGAUGUUUUCAUUAA